This is a long non-coding RNA of Zea mays, 595 nucleotides long. RefSeq lists it as uncharacterized. The transcript has 2 exons. NCBI's taxonomy places the organism in Eukaryota, Viridiplantae, Streptophyta, Magnoliopsida, Poales, Poaceae. The record is from RefSeq and is a predicted model, not a curated record.
GAGUGGGGACCCACCUGUCAUCCCUUUGCGCUGUCGCGGCAACAAACCACGCGAGAUCUGCAGCGAACUUUCCCCCUUUUCCGUCGGCGUCGUUGCUGGCGAGUUCAUACUCCGCUUGCCAUAAAGCUGUCAUGCGCCACCUCUCCUCUAGUAACCCUAACCAUCCGAAUCCUCUAACCUACGAAGAACCAAGAGCCUCACCCCAGCUGGAGGCCGCCGCCAUUGACUUCCCCGUACACCGCCGUAGAAACCUAUUGGCCGUGGUCUGGGCUUCCCCAGAGACAUCGUGUGACUACCCGUGGGAAUUCUAGGGCUGGAUUGCCGAUCCAGCCGCGGCAAUUUCUUGUCGGAGCACCGUCUCCGCACCUCUUCGUGUAUUGCGCCAUCAUCAUCACGGACUCGGGUGAAGAGUAGGUAGCCCAGGAGGAGGUCCACAACGAGGAGUACGAGCUUAUCUAGGUGGCGUCUCGUAGUCAGCUUAUGGUGCCAAGGAAUAAUUAUUAGUUCACUUUACUGUUAUCACUUAUUUUUGUAAGACUCUUCCGCUAUGUAAUAAUAAUAUUUGUGACAUUUAUCUCUAUACACUUGGUCAUUA